AUGGCUCAGGAUGAACGCUGGCGGCGUGCUUAACACAUGCAAGUCGAACGGAGUUGUUCACCGAAUGAACUGGAGAGCUUGCUCAAAGGGGAAUCACCGAGACAACUUAGUGGCGGACGGGUGAGUAACGCGUGGGUAACCUACCCUUAUCAGGGGGAUAACAGUCGGAAACGACUGCUAAUACCGCAUAAGCGCACAGUAUCGCAUGAUACAGUGUGAAAAACUCCGGUGGAUAAGGAUGGACCCGCGUCUGAUUAGCUAGUUGGUGAGGUAACGGCCCACCAAGGCGACGAUCAGUAGCCGGCCUUAACGGGUGAACGGCCACAUUGGGACUGAGACACGGCCCAAACUCCUACGGGAGGCAGCAGUGGGGAAUAUUGCACAAUGGGGGAAACCCUGAUGCAAGCGACGCCGCGUGAAGGAAGAAGUAUUUCGGUAUGUAAACUUCUAUCAGCAGGGAAGAUAGUGACGGUACCUGACUAAGAAGCUCCGGCUAAAUACGUGCCAGCAGCGGC
Molecule: ribosomal RNA, 515 nt
Filed under: uncultured bacterium
Lineage: Bacteria
Description: bacterial SSU rRNA
Rfam family: Bacterial small subunit ribosomal RNA
Source: RNAcentral